RNAcentral lists this ribosomal RNA (401 nucleotides) under uncultured bacterium. Its description in RNAcentral is "bacterial SSU rRNA". It matches the Rfam family "Bacterial small subunit ribosomal RNA", at positions 32 to 409 of the family's 1533-position model. The record is from RNAcentral.
AAUCAACGCUGGCGGCGUGCCUCAGACAUGCAAGUCGAACGCGAAAGUUCCCUUCGGGGGAGCGAGUAGAGUGGCGUCCGGGUGAGUAACACGUAGGUAAUCUACCUUUGGGUGGGGAAUAACAACCGGAAACGGUUGCUAAUACCGCAUAAUGCAGCGGCACCGCAUGGUGACAGUUGUUAAAGCGGGGGGAUCGCAAGACCUCGCGCCUAAAGAGGAGCCUGUGGCGGAUUAGCUAGUGGCAGGGUAACGGCCUACCAAGGCAACGAUCCGUAGCCGGCCUGAGAGGGGCGGUCGGCCACACUGACACUGAAAUACGGGUCAGACUCCUACGGGGAGGCAGCAGUCGGGAAUUUUGGGCAAUGGGCGCAAGCCUGACCCAGCAACGCCGCGUGAAGGAU